GAUGAACGCUGGCGGCGUGCCUAACACAUGCAAGUCGAGCGAACAGACGAGUAGCUUGCUCCUCUGACGUUAGCGGCGGACGUAUGAGUUACAUGUGGAUCACCUACCUAUAAGACAGGGAUAACUUCGUGAAACCGGUGCUAAUAACGGAUAAUUUCUUCAACGGCGUGGUUCAAAAGUGCCAGCGGUUUUUGCUGUCCCCUCUACAUGGAUCCGCGCCGCAUUGGUUAGUUGGUACGGUAGCGGCUUACCGUGGCCACGCUGCGUAGCCGACCGGAGAGGGUGAUCGGCCACACUGGAACUGAGACACGGUCCAGACUCCUACGGGAGGCAGCAGUAGGGAAGCUUCCGCAAGGGGCGAAAGCCUGACGGAGCGGCGCCGCGUUAGUGAUGAAGGUCUUCGGAUCGUAAAACUCUGUUAUUAGUGAAGAACGAAUGUGUAAGGAACGAUGCACGUCUUGACGGUACCUGAUCAGAAAGCAACGGCUAACUACGUG
RNAcentral lists this ribosomal RNA (497 nucleotides) under uncultured bacterium. Its description in RNAcentral is "partial 16S ribosomal RNA". It matches the Rfam family "Bacterial small subunit ribosomal RNA", at positions 28 to 507 of the family's 1533-position model. The record is from RNAcentral.